This 395-nucleotide ribosomal RNA is filed under the name uncultured bacterium. RNAcentral's name for it is "partial 16S ribosomal RNA". It matches the Rfam family "Bacterial small subunit ribosomal RNA", at positions 523 to 918 of the family's 1533-position model. The record is from RNAcentral.
AUACGUAGGGUGCAAGCGUUAAUCGGAAUUACUGGGCGUAAAGCGUGCGCAGGCGGUUUUGUAAGACAGUGGUGAAAUCCCCGGGCUCAACCUGGGAACUGCCAUUGUGACUGCAAGGCUGGAGUGCGGCAGAGGGGGGUGGAAUUCCGGGUGUAGCAGGGAAAUGCGUAGAUAUGCGGAGGAACACCGAUGGCGAAGGCAAUCCCCUGGGCCUGCACUGACGCUCAUGCACGAAAGCGUGGGGAGCAAACAGGAUUAGAUACCCUGGUAGUCCACGCCCUAAACGAUGUCAACUGGUUGUUGGGGAUUUAUUUUCUCAGUAACGAAGCUAACGCGUGAAGUUGACCGCCUGGGGAGUACGGCCGCAAGGUUAAAACUCAAAUGAAUUGGCGGGG